Eptesicus fuscus (big brown bat) is the source of this 327-nucleotide long non-coding RNA. RefSeq lists it as uncharacterized. Lineage: Eukaryota; Metazoa; Chordata; Mammalia; Chiroptera; Vespertilionidae. The transcript has 3 exons. The record is from RefSeq and is a predicted model, not a curated record.
UUCAGAUGUUCAUUCUCCAGGCGGAAGAAGUUCCACACAAAUCGCCUUAGCAAAAUGGAGUAGGCAAAUUACUUAUAAAAUAUCAGAGAGAGGCAGGAACAGCUGAAGGAAGACCAGUUAGAAGCUAUUGCAGUAGUCCAGGAGAGAUGAAGACUUGGACUAAAGUGAUGAGAAGGCACAGGAUUUAUGAAGAUGGAGCUAUGAAACUUACUGGCUCUCUUCUAGACCCCAGGAAUAGAAGCCAGAUGAGAUCCUCAAUCUGAAUGAGAUGACAUUCUAAUAUGUAUUUGAUAUGCUAAUGACUCAACAGCUAUUAGAGAAGAUUAA